RNAcentral lists this long non-coding RNA (1223 nucleotides) under Olea europaea subsp. europaea. The record is from RNAcentral. Lineage: Eukaryota; Viridiplantae; Streptophyta; Magnoliopsida; Lamiales; Oleaceae.
AGAAGAUAAAGUGUGAGAGUUUUCUCUUGUAAGCUUCAUUUUAUCAUCGUGAAUUAUUACAGCGGCGUACGAGAACAUAGUCCAAUAUUGAGGUGACAUCUAUAUAUCGUGCAAGUUCAUUUGUGUUUAUCUUUUUUCUGAUAUUUCAUUACUUUCGAUUAUAUAGAAUUAAAAUUUAUAAUUCUCAACAGUUUGUAUCUUUUUAGAGAUGCGGUGCGUGCCUCAAUAUAAUUCCGAGCCUCCUCUCUUAAACUCUUACUUCAUGAGAACCUUAAAAUUUUAAGAAUCACUUCCUGAAUUAACAUCACGUAUCAUACCACUACCUGAAAUAUUAUUUCCUAAAUAGUAAUAAAAUGAGGAGAAAUGGUGAAGAUUACGUAAGUUAUAGUUAGGGAGGUACUAUCUUUAUCACAACUAUGCAAAUAAAUGAAAUUAGCUUAUUUUUUGGUACACCGUAAUGCUCAAGAUGUAGAAUUACUCGAACAUGCUAAUGAAGAUCCUUUGAACGCAACACCUUGUAAGUUUACAUUGAUCGCACUAAUGUAGUUAAGAACCCAUCCUUGGACACAUGUGACACACUUUUAGAGGCGAGGGAUUAUGUUCGGAGAGCUAGAUAUGUCAACCUUUUUUAUCUAAUAAAAAAAAUACAUUUAGAAGCCGGGGAUUGACAUCAAAUUAUAUGAUUUUAAUUCUCAAUACUGUAAGUUACACAAUUUUGUCAAAGAGAAUAGGACCGAUCUGACUGAUUCCCACGAAAAAUUAAGAACCAAACAAGUUUUUGAUUAAAAAAAAUGUUGAUAUUGAUAAUCACUGAAACAAAUCUUGAACUGAUAUAUAUUAUAAUAAUAAUUAUUAUUAAGAGUCCAACUUGACUUAGAGCAUGUUUGGUAGAGAUUUUAAUCCAAUUAACAUCAAUUUUUUUUACCUUUAUUUCAUUAUUUCAGUCGUCAUUUUUAAUUCUUCUCUCACAUGUAGGACUUACUUUAUUUCUAACGAUCAAAAAAUUAAUUAACAAACUCCCUACUAAACAAGCAAUUAGAUUCAAAUAUUUUACCGUUCAUCCCCUAUCCGAAUAACACAUUAUUCAACUUAAUUGCCAUUAUUUUGAGAGAGAAAAAAAGAAAGAGAGAGAGAGUUUUGAAUAGUAAUUUUUUGAAAAAUGUAUGGUUAAUAGUAGAAAAAGUUUGAAUUCACGUGCAAAAUAUUAUAUUCUGUAAAUGUAU